This 39-nucleotide ribosomal RNA is filed under the name Pangasius pangasius (yellowtail catfish). RNAcentral describes it as "partial 28S ribosomal RNA". The record is from RNAcentral. Lineage: Eukaryota; Metazoa; Chordata; Actinopteri; Siluriformes; Pangasiidae.
ACGAACGCGAACUCCAAUCAAAAGAAACCAAACACUGAA